UGGGGUUAUUCGUGUGAUUUA
RNAcentral lists this non-coding RNA (21 nucleotides) under Caenorhabditis elegans. Lineage: Eukaryota; Metazoa; Nematoda; Chromadorea; Rhabditida; Rhabditidae. The record is from RNAcentral.